UGCCAGCCGCCGCGGUAAUACGGAGGGUGCAAGCGUUAAUCGGAAUUACUGGGCGUAAAGCGUCUGUAGGCGGCUUAUUAAGUCGGAUGUGAAAUCCCAGGGCUCAACCUUGGAACUGCAUUCGAUACUGGUAGGCUAGAGUAUGUGAGAGGGUAGUGGAAUUUCUAGUGUAGCGGUGAAAUGCGUAGAUAUUAGAAGGAACAUCAGUGGCGAAGGCGACUGCCUGGCACAAUACUGACGCUCAGAGACGAAAGCGUGGGGAGCAAACAGGAUUAGAUA
RNAcentral lists this ribosomal RNA (279 nucleotides) under uncultured bacterium. RNAcentral describes it as "partial 16S ribosomal RNA". It matches the Rfam family "Bacterial small subunit ribosomal RNA", at positions 506 to 784 of the family's 1533-position model. The record is from RNAcentral.